Molecule: non-coding RNA, 107 nt
Organism: Podospora conica
Lineage: Eukaryota; Fungi; Ascomycota; Sordariomycetes; Sordariales; Podosporaceae
Source: the annotation of a GenBank genome assembly
GCAACUUUAGCUCAGUUGGGAGAGCGUCAGACUGAAGUCCACUUCAUCCAGCAUUGUCCCCGACAAUUGCAAUCUGAAGGUCACCCGUUCGAUCCGGGUAAGUUGCA